This 408-nucleotide ribosomal RNA is filed under the name uncultured bacterium. Its description in RNAcentral is "bacterial SSU rRNA". It matches the Rfam family "Bacterial small subunit ribosomal RNA", at positions 542 to 952 of the family's 1533-position model. The record is from RNAcentral.
UUAUCGGAUUUAUUGGGUUUAAAGGGAGCGUAGGCGGACGCUUAAGUCAGUUGUGAAAGUUUGCGGCUCAACCGUAAAAUUGCAGUUGAUACUGGGUGUCUUGAGUACAGUAGAGGCAGGCGGAAUUCGUGGUGUAGCGGUGAAAUGCUUAGAUAUCACGAAGAACUCCGAUUGCGAAGGCAGCUUGCUGGACUGUAACUGACGCUGAUGCUCGAAAGUGUGGGUAUCAAACAGGAUUAGAUACCCUGGUAGUCCACACAGUAAACGAUGAAUACUCGCUGUUUGCGAUAUACAGUAAGCGGCCAAGCGAAAGCGUUAAGUAUUCCACCUGGGGAGUACGCCGGCAACGGUGAAACUCAAAGGAAUUGACGGGGGCCCGCACAAGCGGAGGAACAUGUGGUUUAAUUC